Molecule: non-coding RNA, 1416 nt
Organism: Arvicanthis niloticus (Nile rat)
Lineage: Eukaryota; Metazoa; Chordata; Mammalia; Rodentia; Muridae
Source: RefSeq, a predicted model, not a curated record
AAAGGUAAGCCUAACAAAAACAAAAACAACAAAAAAAACCAACUUUCCUUUCCAACUUACUUUUGGUCAAAGUGUUUUAUCACCACAUCAAUGGACGGAGUCCAGGGCUGCUGCACUAGUUUGCUGUAGAAUUGCUACAUGAGGUUUUAUCUUGUCACAACAGUUUUCCCCUCCCCCUCUGUGUGUGUGUGUGUGUGUGUUGUGCUUGUGUAGUGGGUGGGGGAGGCUAAAGUACAUAGGGGGGGGCAGGGUUUCUAGUGUCUUCCUCUUUUACCCUUCAUCUUACUGCCCGAGACAAGCUCUCUCGCUGAGCCAGAAGCUUGCUGUCUUAGCUAGGCUGGCUUGGCUGGCCUGGCUGGCCAAUGAGUUCUUAGGCUCUGCCAGCCUCUGUACCGCCCACCUUCUCUCCACAAUGGAGUUGCAUGCAUUCACAGCCGUGCUUUUUACACGGGCGCUGAGGACUUGAACUCUGAUCCUCAUGCUGUCAUAGCCAGUGUUCUACCCACUGAGCACCCUCCGAACAUCCCAUGUCAGCAUCUCCAUGUCAACAUCACUGGGUUACUGUCACAAAUGGUUUGAGGAAGCAGGCACAGAUAUUAAUUAGCAUGACUCUGGAGCUGUCCUCCCAAGGUGCUACUGUUGUGUGGUGUGGUAUGAGGCACAGGAUUGUGGGUAGUAGGCUCUGUCCUUGGAUAUUCUUGAGUUACUACUGUACGGUGUGACCUUGGUGAGUAGCCUGCCCUCUCUGUGUCUGUGUGUCAUCUCCUGGGUGCUGGUGCCUGGCUAGUGUAAAUAUAAUGGAGAAUCUGACAGGAGAACAUUCCCUCAGCCCGUCCCCACACCUCCCAAUUGCGAGCAUCUUGAAGCCUUCCACUCAGUGUGCUGCUUAGGCUUCAAGCACUAAGCACACUUAGGCUAAGUGUGGUGAGUGGAACAGGUGUGCCAUGUUCUGCUAAGCAGUCUCCUCACGAAUAAAGCAACCGAACUGUGUGGGAAAGCAGCAGCCUUGAACCGGUGGUGCGACAUUUACCCAGACUGAUGGUGCCAGCUGGAGCCUUCCCUGAGCUGAGCCAGUCUUUCCUAGCCAGAGGGAGAUCUGCUGAUCUGAGACUUCUGUGAUGGUCUUUCCUGCUGACUGGGAGAGGAGCAGAGUGGGAUGUCCAGGACUGACCUGCCAAACAGUGGCGCCAUAAGCAAUCUUUCAGAGAGUCCCUGAUUGACAGGGCAAUGGGAGCUGGAGACAUCAGAGACCACUGUAACUCAGAGCAGCAUCCGGGACCUCUGGCUCAGCACCAUGACCCACAAUGAGAGCAGGGGUUUUAAAGAUGUAUUUAAAAUGCUUGGUUCUGAGAGGAGAUGGCUCAGUCUGCACAUGACUGAGACCGAAGCUCAACCCUAGGGUCCAUGUGAACAAAA